GUGAGGAAUAUUGCGCAAUGGAGGCAACUCUGACGCAGCCAUGCCGCGUGCAGGAAGAAGGCGCUACGCGUUGUAAACUGCUUUUAACCGGGAAGAAACCCCAGGACGUGUCCUGGGUUGACGGUACCGGAGGAAUAAGCACCGGCUAACUUCGUGCCAGCAGCCGCGGUAAUACGAAGGGUGCAAGCGUUAUCCGGAUUCAUUGGGUUUAAAGGGUGCGUAGGCGGAGCGUUAAGUCAGUGGUGAAAUCCUGCAGGUUAACUGUAGACUUGCCAUUGAUACUGGCGCUCUUGAGUGCGCUUGAAGUGGGCGGAAUGUGCCGUGUAGCGGUGAAAUGCUUAGAUAUGGCACAGAACACCAAUUGCGAAGGCAGCUCACUAAGGCGAUACUGACGCUGAGGCACGAAAGCGUGGGGAUCGAACAGGAUUAGAAACCCGGGUAGUCC
This 445-nucleotide ribosomal RNA is filed under the name uncultured bacterium. RNAcentral describes it as "partial 16S ribosomal RNA". It matches the Rfam family "Bacterial small subunit ribosomal RNA", at positions 354 to 796 of the family's 1533-position model. The record is from RNAcentral.